CCUACGGGAGGCAGCAGUGGGGAAUCUUGCGCAAUGGGCGAAAGCCUGACGCAGCCAUGCCGCGUGAAUAAUGAAGGUCUUAGGAUUGUAAAAUUCUUUCACCGAGGACGAUAAUGACGGUACUCGGAGAAGAAGCCCCGGCUAACUUCGUGCCAGCAGCCGCGGUAAUACGAAGGGGGCUAGCGUUGCUCGGAAUUACUGGGCGUAAAGGGAGCGUAGGCGGAUAGUUUAGUCAGAGGUGAAAGCCCAGGGCUCAACCUUGGAAUUGCCUUUGAUACUGGCUAUCUUGAGUACGGAAGAGGUAUGUGGAACUCCGAGUGUAGAGGUGAAAUUCGUAGAUAUUCGGAAGAACACCAGUGGCGAAGGCGACAUACUGGUCCGUUACUGACGCUGAGGCUCGAAAGCGUGGGGAGCAAACAGGAUUAGAUACCCUGGUAGUCCACGCUGUAAACGAUGAGUGCUAGUUGUCGGCAUGCAUGCAUGUCGGUGACGCAGCUACGACAUAAGACACUCCGCCGUCGGGAGGUACGGUCGCGAAGAAGUUAAACUAACGAAGAAGUAGACGGACGUGAGACGUAGCCGAACGGACGACGACGAGGGAGGAGG
RNAcentral lists this ribosomal RNA (606 nucleotides) under uncultured bacterium. RNAcentral's name for it is "bacterial SSU rRNA". The stretch from base 1 to 517 matches the Rfam family "Bacterial small subunit ribosomal RNA", at positions 338 to 873 of the family's 1533-position model. The record is from RNAcentral.